RNAcentral lists this ribosomal RNA (4872 nucleotides) under Triticum aestivum (bread wheat). RNAcentral's name for it is "partial small subunit ribosomal RNA". The record is from RNAcentral. Lineage: Eukaryota; Viridiplantae; Streptophyta; Magnoliopsida; Poales; Poaceae.
AUGGCGGGGGAGUUGGGUCAGCAGACAGUGGAGCUGGGGACUGUGUCGCGGCAGGCGGCGGAGGAGUCCUACCUGGCGCUGCGGGAGCUCGUGGAGAAGUCGCGGGCGGGCGUCGAGGGGGAGACAGCGCAGCAGAGGUCGGAUACUGAGAAGAAGAUCGACUUGCUCAAAUUCAUCGACCGCACCCGCCAGCGCAUGCUCCGGCUCCAUGUCCUCGCCAAGUGGUGCCAGCAGGUGCCCUUGCUUCAUUACUGCCAGCAACUUGCGUCAACUCUCUCCAGCCAUGAAACUUGCUUCACCCAAACAGGCGAUUCACUAUUCUUUAUGCAUGAAGGAUUGCAGCAAGCUCGUGCUCCCAUUUUUGAUGUUUCAUCUGCGAUAGAAGUCAUACAUACAGGGAGCUAUAGGAGAUUGCCUAAAUCUGUAGAGGAAAUAGGUACUCAGAAUACACUUUUUCAAGAUGAGCGGAAGCCUACAUUGAAGAAAUUAAGCACCCUUGUGCGGGCAAAAUUACUUGAAACCCUAGUUCCUAAAGAAAUGUCUGAGGUUUCGGUGACUGAUGGAAUAGCCAAUGUACAGGUAGAUGGCGAAUUCAAAGUACUCCUUACGUUAGGUUACCGUGGGCACUUCUCGCUGUGGAGGAUAUUGCAUAUUGAGUUACUUGUUGGUGAGAACACCGGGCCUAUUAAGCUUGAAGAGACAAGAAGGUAUGUUCUGGGUGAUGACAUCGAACGGAGAAUGGCUGUGGCUGACAAUCCCCUCACAAUUUUGUAUACAAUUCUCCAUGAGCUAUGCAUCUCUUUUGUUAUGGAUACCGUAAUUAGACAGACUAAUGUUCUACGACAAGGUAGAUGGAAAGAGGCAAUAAAAUCUGAACUUGUCUCGGAUAGUCAUAGAAGUGCAGGACAAGGUGGGAAUAAUGCUCCAACACAGCUUGGUCAAGAUGGAGAGCUCGAUUCAAGUGGGUUCAGGAUACCUGGUUUGAAAAUAAAUUAUUGGCUGGAUGAAAGAAACAGUGGGUCAGCAGAAUCUGAUUCAUCUCCAUUUAUUAAAGUUGAGGCACUGCAAGAUAUGCAGAUAAAGUGUCAGCACAGUUCAUUUGUAUUGGAUCCACUUACAGAUAAAGAAGCUGAUCUUUCUCUUGAUCUUAGUUGCAUUGAUGUUGAGGCAAUCAUUUUGAAAGCAAUUGCUUGCAAUAGACACACACGUCUUCUGGAAAUUCAGAGGGAGUUGAAAAAAAAUACUCGGAUUUCUCUAUCCCCAACUGAUGUUGUCCUGAAACGGAAAGAAGUUCAUAUGGACGUCCUGCAAAAGAGAGUGGAUAGAAGGGGCUUCAAGAAUUGUUGUACAAAUGAAGUGCUUCAGGUUAGGGCAUAUGGAAAAUCGUAUAUUCACCUGGGAAUAAAUAUCAGGAGUGGCGGCUUCCUCCUGCAAUCACCAAAAAAUAUAUUACCACCUUCUGCGGCAUUAGACUCUGAAGAAGCCCUUAAUAAACGGAGCAUAACACCCACUGAGGUCUUCGUGAGCUUAAAGACCAGAAGCAUCCUUCAGUUGUUUGCUGCGACAGGAAGGUUUUUGGGCCUGAAGGUUUACUCUGAGUGUCAGAUUACUCUGAAGAUACCAAAAUCCAUACUGUAUGGUUCAGAUUUUAUGGUUAUGGGAUUUCCUUGGCGUACGAAUGCCUAUUAUCUUCUGAUGCAACUUGAUGACAACCUCAUGCCGGUUUUUUAUUUGCUUGAGGUGCAUAUUGACGGAGAAGACAGGUUUAACAUUGAUACAACCACUGACACUAAAGAAGUUGUAAGGUUUAACAGAAUUGACAUUGGCCAGAUGCAACUAGGUGAAGAUGAAUGCAUUGCAAAUCUUCUUGAUGUAGAGAAAUUGCAGGUGCUACAAAGCAUGGAAGAUGGGUCUCCCAGGCAUAGUGAAAUUGAUGAGUCUCUUCCUCUAAAGCCUUCAUUUUCUUCUGUUGUUAAGGCAGUAUUAGGAUAUGAGCGAGAUUCUCCAAGUAAGGAAAAUUGGCUGUCUUAUAGUUCGCCCUCAACUCAUUUGAGUUCUCAAAAAGUUGUCCGUCAGGGGGUUAGCGGUAGAGCUGGCCCACCUGAACUGGAUGAUGAGUUACUACAUUCUAACAUUGACACAGCAAAAGUCACUUCUGGUGUCACUUUGGACAGUUAUCUGCUGAGUAAUUUGGAGUCUGCAUAUAGUACAGAGACCUCCGUUUUGGUCCCUGCAGGUUUGGAGAAUAUCUCCGCUUUACGCUCUGAAGUUCCAUCUGGAAAGAGAUAUCUUUCAGAGUUCUUGUUGAACAUCCCAUCAUUACAGCGAUCAAUAAUCAGUGGUGGGCCAAGAAAGAGAAGAAAACUGCCAGAAGAUGCAAGCAGCGUGCAAUCUCGAACAACACUCACCUAUGGAACUAUACUGAGAGAAGGAAAUUGUUGUAUUACAGAAAAUAUAUAUGCUUCUGUGCUUCUUCAAGUCAUAAAGCAUUGUUCGCUUCGUAUCAAAUAUGCUCAACUGACUACCCAGAUGAAUUCUCUUAACAUUCCAUAUGUAGAAGAAGUUGGUCAGGGGACACCCUCCUCUAAUCUUUGGUUACGGCUACCUUUUGCUCAAGAUGGUUCUUGGAAACACACAUGCUUACGUCUUGGUGAAGCUGGAAGCAUGUCAUGGGGUGUUAGGAUCAACGAUCCAUAUUAUGCUGCACUGUGGGAACUUCAUGGAGGCAGCAAUACUACAGAAUGGGGUUCUCGUGUUCGCAUUGCAAACACUUCUGAGAUGGAUUCACACAUCUCUUUUGACUAUGAUGGGGUCACUUUGACUUACAACUCUGUUGAGGCUGAUAGUAUACAGCGGCUUGUCUCAGAAUUACGACGACUUUCAAAUGCUCGUGUAUUUGCUUGUGGAAUGCGGAGGUUGGUUCGUGUUAAAGUAGAUGAGAAAUUAGUUGAGAAUCAGUUAGCUACAAAGGCAAAGUUACAUGCAAGAAAAGGUUUCAGGAACAGGUUAUCGGACCAGAUGGCUAAAAAUUUCCGGAUUAACGCUGUUGGUUUGAUGAACUUGUGGUUCAGUUAUGGUGCCAAUGCCAUGCCCAUGGUUCACUUUGUUGUCGAGUGGGAGGCCGGUAAGGUUGGCUGCACAAUGCGUAUUUCACCAGAUCAUCUUUGGCCACACACAAAGUUUUUGGAGGAUUUUGUGAAUUGCAAUGAGGUGGCAUCAUUUUUGGAUUGCAUCAGACUGACAGCAGGUCCUUUACUUUCCCUUGGUGGUGCAAUUCGUCCUGCAAAGAUGCCUGCUGUCCCUGCUGUUUGGGGUUCUGCACAAAAGCAAAACAAUGUUCUUUUGGCAAAUGGUUCGUCAUCAACUACUGUGCAUAUAAACAGUCAUGAUGCUCAGACUUCCUCUAUGCUCUCUGCUGUAGGCCGGACUGGUCAUGGACUAGUUCCUAGUUCUUUGAUGCCUUUUGAUGUUUCUGUUGUGCUCCGUGGGCCAUACUGGAUACGCAUUAUAUAUCGCAAUAAGUUCUCUGUUGACAUGCGCUGCUUUGCUGGGGAUCAGGUCUGGCUGCAGCCAGCAACCCCUCCAAAAGGUGGGCCUUCAAUUGGUGGAUCUUUACCUUGUCCACAAUUUCGACCAUUCAUAAUGGAACUUGUUGCUCAGGGUCUAAAUACUCUUGAGCCGAGCUUUCUGAAUGCUAGACAUACUAGUGCCAAUACUUCAUCUGGAAGUCAACAGAUAGCAGCUAGUGUGAGUAGAGCAGGCAAUGCCACACUACCUUCAGGAGACGGAGCUCCUGCACACCUUUCUCCUGACACUAACCUUCCUGUGCAUAUGAAAGGAGAAUUGAACACAGCUUUUAUCGGGCAUGGAGAUGAUGGUGGCUAUGGUGGUGGCUGGGUCCCUCAUGCUGCCCUUAAGAAGGUGUUGCGAGACAUUCUCAAGUACCUUGGAGUUCUAUGGUUGUUUGCGCAAUUGCGUGAUAUUCUGAAAGAUAUAUUGGGGUCAGUUUUGAAAGAUAAUGAAGGUGCACUUCUGAAUUUGGAUCAAGAACAGCCAGCGCUGCGCUUCUUUGUGGGUGGUUAUGUCUUUGCAGUUAGUGUUCAGCGAGUUCAACUGCACCUUCAAGUUCUUAAUGUGAAGAGGUUUCACCACCAGCAACAGCAACAGCAAGCUCCUCAGAGCAGUGCUCAGGGAGAGCUAACACCAUCUGAGAUACAUGAGAUAUGCGAUUACUUUAGCAGAUGUGUUGUCUGUGAACCUUAUGAUGCUUCUAGGAUUGCUUCUUUUAUCAUGUUGCUUACUCUGCCCAUUUCAGUUAUACAAGAAUUUGUAAAACUAAUUACAUGGAAUAAAAGCUUGUCCGAGGCUCAUGGGGACAUCGCUGCUGCAGAGCGGGCACAGGCUGAACUUUGUUUGGAAAAGCAUCCAAGAUCAGUUUCAGAUGAUUAUACUGAACCUUCUUUAUUAUCCAAGAGUAAUAUUCAGCAUGACAGAGCCAACAAUUCAGUAGAUUUUACCCUAACUUUUGUGCUUGACCAUAAUCUUACACCACAUGUGAGGACAUCUGGUGGAGCUGCUUGGCUACCAUUUUGUGUUUCUCUGAGAUUAAGGUACACCUUUGGGGAUACUAGUCAUAUCGCAUACCUUGCAAUGGAUGGCAGCCAUGGUGGUAGGUCUUGCUGGUUGCAACACGAGGAUUGGGAGAGGUGUAAGCAGAGUGUUGUUAAAGCAGUGAAGACCGUGAAUGGAUCGCCAGCAGGUGGAGAGACAAGCCGAGGAAGGCUGCAAAUGGUUGCUGAAAUGGUCCAAAAGCAACUGCAACUGUGCCUAGUGCAUUUAAGAGAUGGCUCGCUUUCUGCUGGCUCAACUUGA